Molecule: RNase P RNA, 411 nt
Filed under: Streptomycetaceae bacterium MP113-05
Lineage: Bacteria; Bacillati; Actinomycetota; Actinomycetes; Kitasatosporales; Streptomycetaceae
Description: Bacterial RNase P class A
Rfam family: Bacterial RNase P class A
About the family: Ribonuclease P (RNase P) is a ubiquitous endoribonuclease, found in archaea, bacteria and eukarya as well as chloroplasts and mitochondria. Its best characterised activity is the generation of mature 5'-ends of tRNAs by cleaving the 5'-leader elements of precursor-tRNAs. Cellular RNase Ps are ribonucleoproteins.
Source: Rfam by way of RNAcentral
CGAGUCGUGCGGGCGGUCGCGUCGGGGCUUUCGGGCUCCGCCGAGGAACGUCCGGGCUCCACAGGGCAGGGUGGUAGGUAACGCCUACCUGGGGCGACCCACGGGACAGUGCCACAGAAAGCAGACCGCCGGGGCCGCAAGGCACCCGGUAAGGGUGAAACGGUGGUGUAAGAGACCACCAGCGGCCAGGGUGACCUGGCCGGCUCGGUAAACCCCACCCGGAGCAAGGUCAAGAGGGGCCGCCGUUCCACGGAACGACGGCCCUGCGCGGAUGAUCGAGGGCGGCCCGCCCGAGUCCGCGGGUAGACCGCUGGAGGUCGUCGGUGACGGCGACCCUAGAUGGAUGACCGCCUCCGGGCGGACCGCGAGGUCCGCCCGAGACAGGACCCGGCGUACAGCACGACUCGUCUG